CCUCCUCACCUCCAGCUCAGAGAAUUCCUAGCUCCCUUUAAAGCACAGUUCAGGGGCCUUCUCUUAUGGAAGGCUUCUUCUGAUCUCUUCAGUUGUGAAUUCCCUCUCCCUCUGCCCUGACAGUUAGUUUGCAUUUACUCUGUCUUUCUAUUUCAAGUCAGCGAACCAGUCCAGAACAGGUCAUAUUCAUAAGCAGGAAAGAGUGGGAAAAAUUAUCCAUUUACUAUCCCCACCCUCUCCAAACAAAGUGGGAGGGAUGGAUGGAGAAAGAGAAUCAAGGAAAGAGAAAGGAAGAGAUGGAUACAUAAAUGGAUGGAGAGAGUCAGUGCCAGGGCUAACAGCUUGCCUUGGCUGGGAGCAAGAACAGUGUGGGCAACAGAAGCAGAAUCAAGUAAGCCCGACUCUUCCUGGAGCAGCCUACUUCACCCACUCCUCUGAUGUUCAGGACAUGAUUCAGAAACAUCCUACUGCUGCAUCUAGGAAAUUUCUGGCCUCUCGACAGCAUCUCCUUGGAAAGUCAUGCCAUCCUGUUAAAUAUCCUCUCUCUGUCCUUGUUACAGGCUGUCACCUAGGAUAUCUAACAAUUCAAGUUAUCCCAACAUGAAAUGAGAGGUCUUCAAACACAGGUCAGGUGGCCACUUGCUGAGAAUGAAAUAGAAAGGAUUGCUGUUCAGGUCUGGGUUGGACUUAUUGGCCCCUGAUGUUCCUUCUAGCUUGGAAAUUCUGUCAGUCUUCAAUCAGAAUGACCUCUACUCACACCCACAAAAAUGGCCACAUGCUAACCCAUGCUCCUCUACCUCUAAGAUCCUGAAUGCUGAAAUUCUUUCUUUCUGACCACAAUUGUCCACCCUUCCACCUCUCCCACUGCCUCAUUCCUCCUGACUUUUCUCAGCGCCUUGAUUUUGACCUCUGCUCCCUCACUCCUCCUUAUUUUCCCAACUUGCCAUCCUCUCUCUGGCUUUUCCUUCUUCCCUAUCCAGCUUGGCCUCUGAAAUCAUGGCACUUGAAGAGUGCCACUUUUCCUUCCUUCCCGCUGGCCUUUUACUAUUUCUGCCUUCCUUGUUGGAAACCCUGGCUCACCACUUCCAUCCAUCGUCUCUGCCCCUGCUUUCAGGCUAUUGAGAACUGCUGGAAGAAACCAGGAAACCACGGCUAUUUAAUCCAUUCUAGUCUGAUUCUUCGCAACCAUAGCUGGAUCUUUGCUACCAGUGUCAUGAGCAUCUGCUGCCUCCCUAUUGCAGUCCUCCCAGGAUCUAUUCCAAACUUUCCCCUCUCUGCUUACAAUCUCAGUAAUAACUCCAACCUCUGGCAGUAAAUAAGCCCCAUACAAGGACCUAGGAUAGAAACCUGACUGCUCCAGGAGGCAACUUGCCUGUUUUCCUCAAAUGCACCGGUGCUAAGGCUACUCUUAGCUGUCA
Non-coding RNA from Phascolarctos cinereus (koala), 1418 nucleotides. The record is from RefSeq and is a predicted model, not a curated record. NCBI's taxonomy places the organism in Eukaryota, Metazoa, Chordata, Mammalia, Diprotodontia, Phascolarctidae.